This 267-nucleotide ribosomal RNA is filed under the name uncultured bacterium. Its description in RNAcentral is "partial small subunit ribosomal RNA". It matches the Rfam family "Bacterial small subunit ribosomal RNA", at positions 26 to 285 of the family's 1533-position model. The record is from RNAcentral.
AGGACGAACGCUGGCGGCGUGCUUAACACAUGCAAGUCGAACGAGGUUCAAUCAAUCGCAAGAACGAGGACGACCUAGUGGCGAACGGGUGCGUAACACGUGAGGAACCUAUCCCAGUCUCUGGAAUAACAAGUGGAAACACUUGCUAAUACCGGAUGUCGUUGGAGCACCGCAUGGUGGACCAACGAAAGAUUUAUCGGUCUGGGAGGGCCUCGCGGCCUAUCAGCUAGUUGGUGAGGUAACGGCUCACCAAGGCGUCGACGGGUA